GAUUAACGCUAGCGGCAGGCAUAAUACAUGCAAGUUGAACGGGAUUAGUUGUAGCAAUAUGACUAUGAGAGUAGCGCACGGGUGCGUAACGCGUAUGCAACCUGCCUUCAUCUGGGGAAUAGCCCCUCGAAAGAGGGAUUAAUACCGCAUAACAUAGUGAGUAGGCAUCUACUUACUAUUAAAACUACGGUGGAUGAAGAUGGGCAUGCGUGACAUUAGCUAGUUGGUAGGGUAAUGGCCUACCAAGGCUACGAUGUCUAGGGGGUCUGAGAGGAUGUCCCCCACACUGGUACUGAGAUACGGACCAGACUCCUACGGGAGGCAGCAGUAGGGAAUAUUGGUCAAUGGGCGCAAGCCUGAACCAGCCAUGCCGCGUGCAGGAUGACGGCCCUAUGGGGUUGUAAACUGCUUUUGUACGGAGAAACCUCAUUACGUGUAAUGAGUUGACGGUACCGUGAGAAUAAGGGAUCGGACUUAACUUCGUGCCAGCAGCCG
This 495-nucleotide ribosomal RNA is filed under the name uncultured bacterium. Its description in RNAcentral is "bacterial SSU rRNA". It matches the Rfam family "Bacterial small subunit ribosomal RNA", at positions 28 to 517 of the family's 1533-position model. The record is from RNAcentral.